RNAcentral lists this long non-coding RNA (248 nucleotides) under Elaeis guineensis (African oil palm). RNAcentral's name for it is "long non-coding RNA (EGUI_LNC061193)". The record is from RNAcentral. Lineage: Eukaryota; Viridiplantae; Streptophyta; Magnoliopsida; Arecales; Arecaceae.
CUUCUCAUCGAUGACUAGCUCGAUGUUGUAGUUGUGUAUCUAGUUCUUUGAUCUGAGGAGCAUCGAUAGUUCACCUUGAGUGUGUUAUAGUUUGACUACACCAUAACUUGAUCUCCUAGCCAUUCAAAAUUCUGAGGUGUAUGUUGGCUGUAGCAUAUUCAUUGUAGGAACCAGAUCGCACCAAGAUGAGAUCUAUCAACCUCGGUAGAUGAGAGGAGUAGUCCUAUGAUGAUCGAAAGAUCGAGCCC